GGAUGUGAGGGCGAUCUGGCUGUGACAUCUGUCACCCCAUUGAUCACUAGGGUUGACUCAGAUAUCUGGCUGGCUUGGCAGGUGUCCCCUUCCUCCCUCAUUGCUCCAUGUGCAUCCGUCCCGAAGCUGUGCACUCAGUUGAAGAGAACGACCAUACCUGAUAGAGGAGGACCAUUCUUUGGUCAAGGGUAUACAAGUUGCUGUGCUCCCCUAGUUAGAACCUCCAAACAAGCUCUUAAGGUCUGUUUUUUUUU
Molecule: small RNA, 254 nt
Filed under: Sus scrofa (pig)
Lineage: Eukaryota; Metazoa; Chordata; Mammalia; Artiodactyla; Suidae
Description: 7SK RNA (ENSSSCG00070020749.1)
Rfam family: 7SK RNA
About the family: 7SK was discovered as an abundant small nuclear RNA in the mid-70s but a possible function has only recently been suggested. Two independent studies have found that 7SK RNA binds the CDK9/cyclin T complex (known as elongation factor P-TEFb). P-TEFb activates transcription by phosphorylating the C-terminal domain of RNA polymerase II.
Source: RNAcentral